This 973-nucleotide long non-coding RNA is filed under the name Oreochromis niloticus (Nile tilapia). RNAcentral's name for it is "lncRNA (ENSONIG00000031885.1)". The record is from RNAcentral. Lineage: Eukaryota; Metazoa; Chordata; Actinopteri; Cichliformes; Cichlidae.
AGUUGUUGCUGUUUCUUUCUUUCUUUCUUUUUUUUUUGAAAAAUAACGACGUCUCUGAGGCGCGAAUUCCGACAGCGAGAGGAACGGCCGGAUACGGGAGACGGGAAGAAACAAGCCGAUUAUGUUCGCGUUAAUUAAGUGUUUGGAAGAUGUAAAAUUCUCAAUUCUGCCAACUGAAUAUAUACGAGAUGUUAAUGAGGAUAAAUAAUUAGCCGGCAUGGAGGAAACGGACCUUUAUUUGGUGGAGUGGCGACAAGGAGCCAAAAGGCGGGUGGCCGGUCUAUGAAGCCUCCAUCAUCAAGCUAGCAGCCCAUGAAAUCGAAUGCAGAUCUUCCUGAUGUCAGAUUUACAUAAAUAUGUCAAAGUCUCAACCUCAUGCUGCCCUCCCCCAUCCUCCUAAACCUGUGGUUACAAAUGCAGAUUUCCUUAAUGUUCAAUGGUGCGUGUUCUUUUAAUGGCCGCCUUCCCACUGGAGAUUUUGAUCCACAGCAAUUUAAAAGGAGGACAGAGCAAAACGGACAUCGGCGCAGAGUGAAGAACUGCCCUUCAUAAGGACACUAUGACAGCCAUAUAUAUGGCGGUAAGGAAGAGGUUUCCCAAUGUGUCCAGAAGGGCUUUGAGGAUUGCAGUGAAAGCUGGGGGAACUGAGACUGCUGGAAAAGGAAAAGAAAUUACAUUUAAAGUAUGUUGACUUAUGUUCAUACAAUCACACACACAUAUAUGUAUACAUAUAUAUAUAUAUAUACAUAUAUAUAUAUAUAUAUGUAUAUAUACACACACACACACAUAUAUGUAUAUGUGUGUGUGUGUUUCUUUUAGAAUGUUUAAGUAUGUAAUGAGAAUAAAAUUAUAAAAUGAAUAUUCCUUGCUUGAUUGAUAUGCUAUAUGUAUGUUUUAAACAUCAAAUAAAGAUUUCUUUCAGCUGUUACAUGUGAAUGUGUUUUCUUAGAAAUAUAUGAAGGGUUAAAUUUAU